RNAcentral lists this ribosomal RNA (270 nucleotides) under uncultured bacterium. RNAcentral describes it as "partial 16S ribosomal RNA". It matches the Rfam family "Bacterial small subunit ribosomal RNA", at positions 524 to 794 of the family's 1533-position model. The record is from RNAcentral.
GACAGAGGUUGCAAACGUUGUUCGGAAUCACUGGGCAUAGAGCGCACGUAGGCGGCUGACUAAGUCAGAUGUGAAAUCCCUCGGCUCAACCGGGGAACUGCGUCUGAUACUGGUCGGCUUGAGAACGGUAGGGGUGAGCGGAACUCCAGGUGGAGCGGUGAAAUGCGUAGAUAUCUGGAGGAACACCGGUGGCGAAAGCGGCUCACUGGACCGUCACUGACGCUGAGGUGCGAAAGCUAGGGUAGCAAACGGGAUUAGAAACCCUGUAGU